RNAcentral lists this unclassified non-coding RNA (389 nucleotides) under Hevea brasiliensis (rubber tree). The record is from RNAcentral. Lineage: Eukaryota; Viridiplantae; Streptophyta; Magnoliopsida; Malpighiales; Euphorbiaceae.
GUGAGAGUUUGUGAUUUGAAGAGGAUCAAGUCUGGCAGGAGGAAGAUUUCGAUGAUUCGGAGCUCGAUUCCGGGUCCCGAGAUGGUUGAACUUCAGCCAUCAUCAGAAGGGAGCCCUUUGUUAGUUCCCAGACAGAAGUAUUGUGAGUCUGUGCACAAGACUGUCAGGAGGAAAACACGAACGGUAAUGGUGGGAAAUGUGGCUCUUGGUAGUGAUCAUCCUAUCAGGGUUCAAACUAUGACCACAAAUGACACUAAGGAUGUUGCUGGGACAGUUGAACAGGUAAUGAGAAUAGCAGACAAGGGGGCAGAUUUGGUUCGGAUAACAGUUCAAGGGAAAAGAGAAGCGGAUGCUUGCUUUGAAAUAAAAAAUUCUCUUGUGCAGAAAAA